UGAACGCUGGCGGCGUGCCAAUACAUGCAAGUCGAGCGCGAGAUUGAGGAGCUUGCUCCUCAUGAUCGAGCGGCGGACGGGUGAGUAACACGUAGGCAACCUACCCUUGAGAUUGGGAUAACUACCGGAAACGGUAGCUAAUACCGGAUACGACUUUUCCACAUAAGUGGAAUUGUUAAAAGGCGGAUUUAUCUGCCGCUCAUGGAUGGGCCUGCGGUGCAUUAGCUAGUUGGUGAGAUAGUGGCUCACCAAGGCGACGAUGCAUGGCCGACCUGAGAGGGUGAUCGGCCACACUGGGACUGAGACACGGCCCAGACUCCUACGGGAGGCAGCAGUAGGGAAUCUUCCGCAAUGGACGAAAGUCUGACGGAGCAACGCCGCGUGAGUGAUGAAGGGUUUCGGCUCGUAAAACUCUGUUGUUAAGGAAGAACACUUGAGGUAGUAACUGGCCUUGAGAUGACGGUACUUAACCAGAAAGCCACGGCUAACUACGUG
RNAcentral lists this ribosomal RNA (495 nucleotides) under uncultured Jeotgalicoccus sp. RNAcentral describes it as "bacterial SSU rRNA". It matches the Rfam family "Bacterial small subunit ribosomal RNA", at positions 30 to 507 of the family's 1533-position model. Lineage: Bacteria; Bacillati; Bacillota; Bacilli; Caryophanales; Staphylococcaceae. The record is from RNAcentral.